GUCCGGCUGAUGACGAGUCCUAAAUAGGACGAAAUGCGCAUCCUGGAU
Non-coding RNA from Trichobilharzia regenti, 48 nucleotides. Lineage: Eukaryota; Metazoa; Platyhelminthes; Trematoda; Strigeidida; Schistosomatidae. The record is from Rfam.